UACGUAGGGUGCGAGCGUUAAUCGGAAUUACUGGGCGUAAAGCGUGCGCAGGCGGUUUUGUAAGCCAGAUGUGAAAGCCCCGGGCUUAACCUGGGAAUGGCAUUUGGGACUGCAAGGCUGGAGUGUGGCAGAGGAGACUGGAAUUCAUGGUGUAGCAGUGAAAUGCGUAGAGAUCAUGAGGAAGACCAGUGGCGAAGGCGGGUCUCUGGACAGUUCCUGACACUGAGACACGAAGGCCAGGGGAGCAAACGGG
Molecule: ribosomal RNA, 253 nt
Filed under: uncultured bacterium
Lineage: Bacteria
Description: partial 16S ribosomal RNA
Rfam family: Bacterial small subunit ribosomal RNA
Source: RNAcentral